Molecule: ribosomal RNA, 237 nt
Filed under: Pseudomonas aeruginosa
Lineage: Bacteria; Pseudomonadati; Pseudomonadota; Gammaproteobacteria; Pseudomonadales; Pseudomonadaceae
Description: partial 16S ribosomal RNA
Rfam family: Bacterial small subunit ribosomal RNA
Source: RNAcentral
GAACUGAAGAGUUUGAUCAUGGCUCAGAUUGAACGCUGGCGGCAGGCCUAACACAUGCAAGUCGAGCGGAUGAAGGGAGCUUGCUCCUGGAUUCAGCGGCGGACGGGUGAGUAAUGCCUAGGAAUCUGCCUGGUAGUGGGGGAUAACGUCCGGAAACGGGCGCUAAUACCGCAUACGUCCUGAGGGAGAAAGUGGGGGAUCUUCGGACCUCACGCUAUCAGAUGAGCCUAGGUCGGA